CCCUUAGAUGUUCUGGGCAGUACGCGCGCUACAAUGGUCUUCGCAAACGGAUGCAUUCUCGAAGGAGAAUGCCAAUCUUGGAAUCUAUGCCUUGGUCGGGACAGUUGCUUGCAAUUUUUCGACUCGAACCAGGAAUUCCUUGUAAUCGUGAUUCAUCACAUCACGAUGAAUACGUCCCUGCCCUUUGUACACACCGCCCGUCGCUCCUACCGAUCGAAGAGUUAGGUGAAUUGUUUUGAUCGAUAAGAUUUGACUAUGGUCAACUCUCGUUGUGAAAUUCUGUGAAUCUGACUGUUUAGAGGAAGGAAAGGUCGUAACA
Molecule: ribosomal RNA, 319 nt
Filed under: uncultured eukaryote
Lineage: Eukaryota
Description: partial 18S ribosomal RNA
Rfam family: Eukaryotic small subunit ribosomal RNA
Source: RNAcentral